AGCGAACGCUGGCGGCAGGCUUAACACAUGCAAGUCGAGCGGGCGUAGCAAUACGUCAGCGGCAGACGGGUGAGUAACGCGUGGGAACAUACCUUUUGGUUCGGAACAACACAGGGAAACUUGUGCUAAUACCGGAUAAGCCCUUACGGGGAAAGAUUUAUCGCCGAAAGAUUGGCCCGCGUCUGAUUAGCUAGUUGGUGAGGUAACGGCUCACCAAGGCGACGAUCAGUAGCNGGUCUGAGAGGAUGAUCAGCCACAUUGGGACUGAGACACGGCCCAAACUCCUACGGGAGGCAGCAGUGGGGAAUAUUGGACAAUGGGCGCAAGCCUGAUCCAGCCAUGCCGCGUGAGUGAUGAAGGCCCUAGGGUUGUAAGCUCUUUUGUGCGGGAAGAUAAUGACGGUACCGCAAGAAUAAGCCCCGGCUAACUUCGUGCCAGCAGCCGCCGUAAG
RNAcentral lists this ribosomal RNA (451 nucleotides) under uncultured bacterium. RNAcentral's name for it is "bacterial SSU rRNA". It matches the Rfam family "Bacterial small subunit ribosomal RNA", at positions 29 to 524 of the family's 1533-position model. The record is from RNAcentral.